RNAcentral lists this long non-coding RNA (213 nucleotides) under Mytilus galloprovincialis (Mediterranean mussel). The record is from RNAcentral. Lineage: Eukaryota; Metazoa; Mollusca; Bivalvia; Mytilida; Mytilidae.
CUCCAUCCAAAUAACAAUUUUAAAAAAGUAGACCAUUAUAGGUUAAUGUACGGCCUUCAACACGGAGCCUUGGCUCACACCGAACAACAAGUUAUAAAGGGCCACAGAAUUACUACUGUAAAACCAUUCAAACGGGAAAACCAACGGUCUAAUCUAUAUAAAAUUUAAAAAAAACAAGAAACGAGAAACACGUAUAAAUUACAUAAACAAACG